Molecule: small RNA, 2464 nt
Filed under: Pan troglodytes (chimpanzee)
Lineage: Eukaryota; Metazoa; Chordata; Mammalia; Primates; Hominidae
Description: retained intron
Source: RNAcentral
UUGCUGCGGAGCCAGGAGGGGAAGCGAUGGCUGGGUCCGCGUGGAUCUCCAAGGUCUCUCGGCUGCUGGGGGCAUUCCACAACCCAAAACAGGUGACCAGAGGUUUUACUGGUGGUAUCAACUUUGCCAAGCUUAUGUAGAUUACUCUUAGAUUUAAGCAGACAGUUUUAUAGAGGAACUAAGAAAAAAAUGGAAGCUCUCUUGAUAAAAAGUCUGAUUUUCCCUGAGUACCAAAACAGACCUCAGUAAUAUUUUGGAAAUGUGUCUGAAAGUGUUUUGCAAGACUGAAGAAGUUGCAUGAGAAGCUUUCCAGGAUCACAAUGGAAAGGAAAGGAAAACACUUGCCUUCAUGAGAAACCCUCUAAAUUUUAGUGAGAGAACAUUGUUAAUUUUUUGUUGUUGUUGUCUUUGGUUUAAAAGAUUUGAAUUAAUUGGUCUCUUUGCAGCUUGUCUGAAAAGAAAUAUCAAUUAGGAAAUCUACUUGGUAGUUUAAUUUAUUUUCGUUUUAUGUAAAGAGUAUCAUUUGGGUUCUUUUUAAAACCUCUGAACUCAGGUAAAGAGUAGGAUUGCAGAGUCUCUCCUCUGUUGAUUCCUGCCUCCCCUUUGAUGACCCCCGGGGAGGUAUGUUUGUUUUCUUAAUAGCAUUUGAAUCUUCUUGAGACAUCUCAUAAAGUGGAUUUCUCUGUCAAAAUAUUCUUUUUUAAGCCUUCAAAAACAAAAAUUCUUACUGUCUUCUUUGAUGAUUUCUUAUGUUCAGGUUCAGACAGUAACUUUAAUUCCAGGAGAUGGUAUUGGCCCAGAAAUUUCAGCUGCAGUUAUGAAGAUUUUUGAUGCUGCCAAAGCACCUAUUCAGUGGGAGGAGCGGAACGUCACUGCCAUUCAAGGACCUGGAGGAAAGUGGAUGAUCCCUUCAGAGGCUAAAGAGUCCAUGGAUAAGAACAAGAUGGGCUUGAAAGGCCCUUUGAAGACCCCAAUAGCAGCCGGUCACCCAUCUAUGAAUUUACUGCUGCGCAAAACAUUUGACCUUUACGCGAAUGUCCGACCAUGUGUCUCUAUCGAAGGCUAUAAAACCCCUUACACCGAUGUAAAUAUUGUGACCAUUCGAGAGAACACAGAAGGAGAAUACAGUGGAAUUGAGCAUGUGCGAGGUGGGACUUCCUGUCUUGCAGAUUGUUGAUGGAGUCGUGCAGAGUAUCAAGCUCAUCACCGAGGGGGCGAGCAAGCGCAUUGCUGAGUUUGCCUUUGAGUAUGCCCGGAACAACCACCGGAGCAACGUCACGGCGGUGCACAAAGCCAACAUCAUGCGGAUGUCAGAUGGGCUUUUUCUACAAAAAUGCAGGGAAGUUGCAGAAAACUGUAAAGAUAUUAAAUUUAAUGAGAUGUACCUUGAUACAGUAUGUUUGAAUAUGGUACAAGAUCCUUCCCAAUUUGAUGUUCUUGUUAUGCCAAAUUUGUAUGGAGACAUCCUUAGUGACUUGUGUGCAGGAUUGAUCGGAGGUCUCGGUGUGACACCAAGUGGCAACAUUGGAGCCAAUGGGGUUGCAAUUUUUGAGUCGGUUCAUGGGACGGCUCCAGACAUUGCAGGCAAGGACAUGGCGAAUCCCACAGCCCUCCUGCUCAGUGCUGUGAUGAUGCUGCGCCACAUGGGACUUUUUGACCAUGCUGCAAGAAUUGAGGCUGCGUGUUUUGCUACAAUUAAGGACGGAAAGAGCUUGACAAAAGAUUUGGGAGGCAAUGCAAAAUGCUCAGACUUCACAGAGGAAAUCUGUCGCCGAGUAAAAGAUUUAGAUUAACACUUCCACAACUGGCAUUUACAUCAGUCACUCUAAAUGGACACCACAUGAACCUCUGUUUAGAAUACCUACGUAUGUAUGCAUUGGUUUGCUUGUUUCUUGACAGUACAUUUUUAGAUCUGGCCUUUUCUUAACAAAAUCUGUGCAAAAGAUGCAGGUGGAUGUCCCUAGGUCUGUUUUCAAAGAACUUUUUCCAAGUGCUUGUUUUAUUUAUUAAGUGUCUACCUGGUAAAUGUUUUUUUUUGUAAACUCUGAGUGGACUGUAUCAUUUGCUAUUCCAAACCAUUUUACACUUAAGUUAAAAUAGUUUCUCUUCAGCUGUAAAUAACAGGAUACAGAAUUAACAAGAGAAAAAUGUCUAACUUUUUAAGAAAAACCUUAUUUUCUUCGGUUUUUGAAAAACAUAAUGGAAAUAAAACAGGAUAUUGACAUAAUAGCACAAAAUGACACUCUUCUAAAACUAAAUGGGCACAAGAGAAUUUUCCUGGGAAAGUUCACAUCAAAAAGAGUGAAUGUGGUAUAUUUCUAAAUGAUAUGGAAAAUAGAGACAGAUUUGUCCUUUACAGAAAUUACUGAGUGUGAAUAAAAACUUCAGAUCCAAGAAAUAUAUAACGAGAGAUAUAAUUUUUGUUAAUAAGACAAAGGUAAUAUAUUGGAUACAAAGAUACAAA